UCGGACGUGGUGCAUGGCGCACACCCGCUUUUCGUGUGUCGUAAAUAAAGUGAACAAAAAAUUAAAGCGGGAGGCCUGGGUUCGAUUCCCAGCGUCCGAA
Molecule: non-coding RNA, 100 nt
Organism: Mycena galericulata
Lineage: Eukaryota; Fungi; Basidiomycota; Agaricomycetes; Agaricales; Mycenaceae
Source: the annotation of a GenBank genome assembly